RNAcentral lists this ribosomal RNA (253 nucleotides) under uncultured prokaryote. Its description in RNAcentral is "partial 16S ribosomal RNA". It matches the Rfam family "Bacterial small subunit ribosomal RNA", at positions 524 to 776 of the family's 1533-position model. The record is from RNAcentral.
UACGAAGGGUGCUAGCGUUGUUCGGAAUUACUGGGCGUAAAGCGCGCGUAGGCGGCUAUUCAAGUCAGAGGUGAAAUCCCUGGGCUCAACCCAGGAAUUGCCUUUGAAACUGUAUAGCUUGAGUACUGGAGGGGAUAGCGGAAUUCCUAAUGUAGAGGUGAAAUUCGUAGAUAUUAGGAGGAACACCAAUGGCGAAGGCAGCUCGCUGGGACGGUACUGACGCUGAGACGCGAAAGCGUGGGGAGCAAACAGG